AUUGAACGCUGGCGGCAUGCCUUACACAUGCAAGUCGAACGGCAGCACGGGAGCAAUCCUGGUGGCGAGUGGCGAACGGGUGAGUAAAGUAUCGGAACGUGCCCAGUCGUGGGGGAUAACGUAGCGAAAGUUACGCUAAUACCGCAUACGACCUAUGGAUGAAAGCGGGGGCUCGUAAGACCUCGCGCGAUUGGAGCGGCCGAUAUCAGAUUAGGUAGUUGGUGGGGUAAAGGCUCACCAAGCCGACGAUCUGUAGCUGGUCUGAGAGGACGACCAGCCACACUGGGACUGAGACACGGCCCAGACUCCUACGGGAGGUAGCAGUGGGGAAUUUUGGACAAUGGGCGAAAGCCUGAUCCAGCCAUGCCGCGUGCAGGAUGAAGGCCUUCGGGUUGUAAACUGCUUUUGUACGGAACGAAAAGGUUUGGGCUAAUAAGCUGAGCUCAUGACGGUACCGUAAGAAUAAGCACCGGCUAACUACGUGUCAGCCGCCGCUGUAA
Molecule: ribosomal RNA, 500 nt
Filed under: uncultured bacterium
Lineage: Bacteria
Description: partial 16S ribosomal RNA
Rfam family: Bacterial small subunit ribosomal RNA
Source: RNAcentral